UACGUAGGGGGCUAGCGUUGUCCGGAAUCAUUGGGCGUAAAGAGCGUGUAGGCGGUCCGGUAAGUCGGUUGUGAAAGUCCAGGGCUCAACCCUGGGAUGCCGACCGAUACUGUCGGACUAGAGUUCGGAAGAGGCGAGUGGAAUUCCCGGUGUAGCGGUGAAAUGCGCAGAUAUCGGGAGGAACACCAAUGGCGAAGGCAGCUCGCUGGGACGUUACUGACGCUGAGACGCGAAAGCGUGGGGAGCAAACAGG
RNAcentral lists this ribosomal RNA (253 nucleotides) under uncultured bacterium. RNAcentral's name for it is "partial 16S ribosomal RNA". It matches the Rfam family "Bacterial small subunit ribosomal RNA", at positions 524 to 776 of the family's 1533-position model. The record is from RNAcentral.